Molecule: long non-coding RNA, 992 nt
Organism: Perca flavescens (yellow perch)
Lineage: Eukaryota; Metazoa; Chordata; Actinopteri; Perciformes; Percidae
Exons: 4
Source: RefSeq, a predicted model, not a curated record
GGCUCUGACCACGCCCACGUCAUGCGCACGUGUUUUCUGGAGUUAUCUAAGACUGAGAUAUUUAUCCAGACGGUUUCCCGCUCUCCGGUUGUCACGGUGGAAGCUGAUUGGACGAUUCAAGGCCAAUAAAAACCUUCGGUCUCUCUGCGGCUUCUCCUCGUCAUGGCAACCAAAUGGGCCUCCACCAAAUGGGAGGCGGUGAAGGAGCGCAUGACAGGAAGUCCCGGCAACGACCCGGACGCCUCGCUGGAGGCCAAUCUGGAGAACGCUGACCCCGAGCUCUGCAUCAGACUCCUGCAGCGACAUGGAUAGAGUCUACCCCCACCUGACCAUUCUCCACAGGAUUUAUAAAACCUUCCUAUCAGCAGCACCAGCUCCAAACCAGGUUCCAGCCGUCUGGGGCUCAUUAAGACACACUUGUGUUGGUGCAGCGAUGAGGCCAGACUGUCCCAUCUCACCUGGCUGAGUGUGGAGCGGGACAUACUGGACAUAUGGACAGGGACAGAGUGGCUGAGUGUGGAGCAGGACAUACUGGACAUAUGGACAGGGACAGAGUGGUGGGCAGAUUGGCCACCAUGGAGGAGAGGAGGAUGAAGAUUUAAUAAGGGACCCUGAUAUGUAUGUAGUUUUGUUAGAUGUAUUUGUUCUGGAGGAUCGUUAAGCAGACAACUAAAUGGUGGGAAAAAAAAAUUUGUCUUUAAGAAUUUAUAUUUUAGUUAUGAAUAAGUCACUCAGAAUGUUAUAAAUCAGUUUCACUCAAAGUUUUCAUGUAGCACCUCUAGCCUACCUAUGGAGAUGUAAACAAACGUUGUGUUCCAUAUAUACAUUAUAAUAGAGCCAUGUCAGUUAUAUAGCGUGGCUCUGACUGAGAGCUCUUGGCCUGUUCAGCACCAUCGCUGUCCAGCAGCUGUCGCUGUCCGUGGUGCUGAAACCUUUUCACUUGACUGGCAAACUGUUUUCUUUGUUCGUCAGUACAAACUUGUCAAAACAUG